UGCCAGUCGAACGACCCGGACUAUGGCGGGGAGUGGCAGACUGCUCAGUAACACGUAGCUAACCUACCCUCGGGACGGGGAUAACCCCGGGAAACUGGGGUUAAUCCCCGAUAGGCGUGGAUUCCUGGAAUGGUGUCACGCCGAAACGAUAACACACCAUGUUUGUGUACACGCCUGAGGACGGGGCUGCGGCCGAUCAGGCAGUUGGUGAGGUAACGGCUCACCAAACCUUUGACCGGUACGGGCCGUGAGAGCGGUAGCCCGGAGAUGGACACUGAGACAAGGGUCCAGGACCUACGGGUCGCAGCCGGUACGAAACCUCCACAAUGCACGCAAGUGCGAUGGGGUUACCUCGAGUGCCGCCUGAAGAAGGCGGCUUUUCCAUUGUGUAAUGAGCCGUGGGAAUAAGAGGGGGGCAAGACCGGUGUCAGCCGCCGCGGUAACACCAGCCCCUCGAGUGGUGGGGAUGAUUAUUUGGCCUAAAGCGUCCGUAGCCAGCUCUGUAAAUCUCCCGUUAAAUCCAACGUCCUAAGCGUUGGGCUGCGAGAGACACUGCAGAACUAGAGGGUGGGAGAGGUCAGCGGUAUUCCUGGGGUAGGGGCGAAAUCCAUUGAUCCCAGGAGGACCACCAGUGGCGAAGGCUGCUGACUUGAACACGCCUGACGGUCAGGGACGAAAGCUGGGGUAGCGAAUCGGAUUAGAUACCCGAGUAGUCCCAGCCGUAAACGAUGCA
This 733-nucleotide ribosomal RNA is filed under the name uncultured archaeon. RNAcentral's name for it is "bacterial SSU rRNA". It matches the Rfam family "Archaeal small subunit ribosomal RNA", at positions 52 to 764 of the family's 1478-position model. The record is from RNAcentral.